AUCACUUCUUGGCCUUUUGGCUAAGAUCAAGCAUAGUAUUUGUUCUUAUCAGUUUAAAAAGAUCAUCUAUAAUGUCCUUACAAGAGACAUAGAAGAAAAAAUGAGAGAGUUU
Molecule: small nuclear RNA, 112 nt
Filed under: Suricata suricatta (meerkat)
Lineage: Eukaryota; Metazoa; Chordata; Mammalia; Carnivora; Herpestidae
Description: U2 spliceosomal RNA (ENSSSUG00005001511.1)
Rfam family: U2 spliceosomal RNA
About the family: U2 is a small nuclear RNA (snRNA) component of the spliceosome (involved in pre-mRNA splicing). Complementary binding between U2 snRNA (in an area lying towards the 5' end but 3' to hairpin I) and the branchpoint sequence (BPS) of the intron results the bulging out of an unpaired adenosine, on the BPS, which initiates a nucleophilic attack at the intronic 5' splice site, thus starting the first of two transesterification reactions that mediate splicing.
Source: Rfam by way of RNAcentral